This 273-nucleotide long non-coding RNA is filed under the name Elaeis guineensis (African oil palm). RNAcentral describes it as "long non-coding RNA (EGUI_LNC068225)". Lineage: Eukaryota; Viridiplantae; Streptophyta; Magnoliopsida; Arecales; Arecaceae. The record is from RNAcentral.
GAAUCAGUCACGGGGAGUGAAGCGGCAUCCGCUGUCGUGACUUGUCAGAGAGUGGUGGACUCGCACAGAAUCCACCGCAGGGAGUGGAGCAGAGUCAUGGCCGUUAAUACGGCCUGUCAGGGAGUAAUGGAGCUACGCAGGGUCCGCCGUAGGGAGUGGAGCAGUGGUGUCCGCUACUGUGGCUUGUCAGGGGAUCCAGACUUGUUGGCCGAAGUUCGGUUGGAGUCGGUAGCGAGGUUCGGUACCCAUAGGAGUUUGGACGAGGUCUUCCCA